CAUGAUGGACUAUUGGACAGGACUGCUGCUUCUAACUGUCUGCUGGGCAGGUGUUGAUGGUCAGACUCUGACAGAAUCUGAACCAGCAGUUAAAAGUCCUGGAGGAUCUCACAGAUUGACCUGUACAGUCUCUGGAUUUGAUGUUAGUGGCUACUGGAUGGGCUGGAUCAGACAGGCUCCUGGAAAAGGACUGGAGUGGCUCGCUUUGAAUCAUGGUACCACCAACCACUACUCUCAGUCAGUCAGAGGCCGGUUUACCAUCUCCAGAGACAACAGCAGACAGCAGCUGUAUCUGCAGAUGAACAGUCUGAAGACUGAAGAUUCUGCUGUUUAUUAUUGUGCUCGAGAGCCACAGUGA
This is a non-coding RNA of Centropristis striata (black sea bass), 358 nucleotides long. NCBI's taxonomy places the organism in Eukaryota, Metazoa, Chordata, Actinopteri, Perciformes, Serranidae. The record is from the annotation of a RefSeq genome assembly.